GUGGAGCCCCAGGCAGAGCCCCUGCCAGCGGUCCAGUGGGUCCCGCCCACGUCACGUGGCUCCUUCUACUUGAUGGUCGUCCCUCCGACCCCUGGCACUGUGAUGCCCCUGGGUGUUUGCUUCCCCGAUGUAACACGUGGAUGAGGAAGAAAGGCACAGUCAGAGGGACGGAGGUUCCUGCGUUACCGGUGACAUGCCACAGCUUAAUUCUGGGGGUGGGGGGGGUGGAUGGGCAGAAUUCCCCACUAGAGCGCACUUUCCUCUCGCCUCCCCAUCUCCCCUUAGGCUCACCCCGACAUGCUAGUUCAUACAAAUCAGCGGUCAUCUAGCUGCCUGUAUUAGGGGACAGGGCUUUGUGGGAGGGGCCACAGGGACUGACGGGGAGACACAGAGACUGGAGAGGGUGGGGGAGGCUCAAGGGCCCUCUCCUUGGGUGGACACUGUCUUCCCCCAGGGCUGGAGA
Molecule: long non-coding RNA, 463 nt
Organism: Phyllostomus discolor (pale spear-nosed bat)
Lineage: Eukaryota; Metazoa; Chordata; Mammalia; Chiroptera; Phyllostomidae
Exons: 2
Source: RefSeq, a predicted model, not a curated record